This 48-nucleotide small RNA is filed under the name bovine gut metagenome. RNAcentral's name for it is "DUF3800-XI RNA". It matches the Rfam family "DUF3800-XI RNA". Rfam says of the family: Actinobacteria, Firmicutes, Proteobacteria, Spirochaetes (1 example). Nearby to DUF3800 The record is from RNAcentral.
UGGGCUGGUCGAAAGACCCAGGUCCACAUGUUGGCGGGUAGGACACCC